AGAAAGGCAUCAUAUAGGAGCUG
Molecule: microRNA, 23 nt
Filed under: Callithrix jacchus (white-tufted-ear marmoset)
Lineage: Eukaryota; Metazoa; Chordata; Mammalia; Primates; Cebidae
Also listed under: 5 other names
Description: cja-miR-3544
Source: miRBase by way of RNAcentral